Molecule: transfer RNA, 85 nt
Filed under: Alistipes finegoldii
Lineage: Bacteria; Pseudomonadati; Bacteroidota; Bacteroidia; Bacteroidales; Rikenellaceae
Also listed under: 1 other name
Description: tRNA-Lys(ctt)
Source: RNAcentral
CGAUGUUCUGCUGUACGGUGUGGCGGUCUACGCUCUUGGCGUCGAUCGUCUCGUCGGCGAUCUGGUCGCCCCAGAUGAAUACCGG